Molecule: transfer RNA, 65 nt
Filed under: Acinetobacter baumannii 532413
Lineage: Bacteria; Pseudomonadati; Pseudomonadota; Gammaproteobacteria; Moraxellales; Moraxellaceae
Also listed under: 2 other names
Description: partial tRNA-Gly
Rfam family: tRNA
About the family: Transfer RNA (tRNA) molecules are approximately 80 nucleotides in length.
Source: RNAcentral
GCGGGAAUAGCUCAGUUGGUAGAGCAUAACCUUGCCAAGGUUGGGGUCGCGAGUUCGAGUCUCGU